GACGAACGCUGGCGGCGUGCCUAACACAUGCAAGUCGAACGGAGAAGUUCAGCAAUGGAUUUCUUAGUGGCGAACGGGUGAGUAACGCGUAGACAACCUGCCUCUAAGCUGGGGACAACAACUCGAAAGGGUUACUAAUACCGAAUGUGAACAGUGCCUCGCAUGAGAUGCUGUUUGAAGGUGGCCUCUGAAUAUGCUACCGCUUAGAGAUGGGUCUGCGUCUGAUUAGCUAGUUGGAGGGGUAAUGGCCCACCAAGGCGACGAUCAGUAGCCGGUCUGAGAGGAUGAACGGCCACACUGGGACUGAGACACGGCCCAGACUCCUACGGGAGGCAGCAGUGGGGAAUCUUCCGCAAUGGACGAAAGUCUGACGGAGCAACGCCGCGUGAGUGAAGAAGGCCCUCGGGUCGUAAAGCUCUGUCUUCAGGGACGAAUGUGCAGAUUGUGAAUAAUGGUUUGUAAUGACGGUACCUGAGGAAGAAGCCACGGCUAACUACGUGCCAGCCGCCGCGGUAA
This 516-nucleotide ribosomal RNA is filed under the name uncultured bacterium. RNAcentral describes it as "partial 16S ribosomal RNA". It matches the Rfam family "Bacterial small subunit ribosomal RNA", at positions 28 to 523 of the family's 1533-position model. The record is from RNAcentral.